UAAGACGAACCGUGCGAACGUUGUUCGGAAUCACUGGGCUUAAAGGGCGCGUAGGCGGAUUUGCAAGUCUGCGGUGAAAGCCUCCAGCUUAACUGGAGAAGUGCCGUGGAUACUGCGGAUCUCGAGGAGGGUAGGGGCAUCUGGAACGUUGGGUGGAGCGGUGAAAUGCGUUGAUAUCCAACGGAACUCCGGUGGCGAAGGCGAGGUGCUGGACCCUUUCUGACGCUGAUGCGCGAAAGCCAGGGGAGCGAACGGGAUUAGAUACCCCGGUAGUCCUGGCCCUAAACGUUGAGAACUAGGUAGUGGACUUAACAUGGGUUCACUGUCGAAGCAAAAGUGCUAAGUUCUCCGCCUGGGGAGUAUGGUCGCAAGGCUG
RNAcentral lists this ribosomal RNA (376 nucleotides) under uncultured bacterium. RNAcentral describes it as "bacterial SSU rRNA". It matches the Rfam family "Bacterial small subunit ribosomal RNA", at positions 521 to 896 of the family's 1533-position model. The record is from RNAcentral.